Molecule: ribosomal RNA, 1016 nt
Filed under: Neomassariosphaeria sp.
Lineage: Eukaryota; Fungi; Ascomycota; Dothideomycetes; Pleosporales; Amniculicolaceae
Description: SSU rRNA
Rfam family: Eukaryotic small subunit ribosomal RNA
Source: RNAcentral
ACCGUGAAACUGCGAAUGGCUCAUUAAAUCAGUUAUCGUUUAUUUGAUAGUACCUUACUACUUGGAUAACCGUGGUAAUUCUAGAGCUAAUACAUGCUAAAAACCCCGACUCCGGAAGGGGUGUAUUUAUUAGAUAAAAAGCCAAUGCCCUUUGGGGCUCUUUGGUGAUUCAUAGUAACUUAACGGAUCGCAUGGCCUUGCGCCGGCGACGGUUCAUUCAAAUUUCUGCCCUAUCAACUUUCGAUGGUAAGGUAUUGGCUUACCAUGGUUUCAACGGGUAACGGGGAAUUAGGGUUCGAUUCCGGAGAGGGAGCCUGAGAAACGGCUACCACAUCCAAGGAAGGCAGCAGGCGCGCAAAUUACCCAAUCCCGACACGGGGAGGUAGUGACAAUAAAUACUGAUACAGGGCUCUUUUGGGUCUUGUAAUCGGAAUGAGUACAAUUUAAACCCCUUAACGAGGAACAAUUGGAGGGCAAGUCUGGUGCCAGCAGCCGCGGUAAUUCCAGCUCCAAUAGCGUAUAUUAAAGUUGUUGCAGUUAAAAAGCUCGUAGUUGAACCUUGGGCCUGGCUGGCUGGUCCGCCUCACCGCGUGUACUGGUCCGGCCGGGCCUUUCCUUCUGGAGAGCCCCAUGCCCUUCACUGGGUGUGUGGGGGAACCAGGACUUUUACUGUGAAAAAAUUAGAGUGUUCAAAGCAGGCCUUUGCUCGAAUACGUUAGCAUGGAAUAAUAGAAUAGGACGUGCGGUCCUAUUUUGUUGGUUUCUAGGACCGCCGUAAUGAUUAAUAGGGAUAGUCGGGGGCAUCAGUAUUCAAUUGUCAGAGGUGAAAUUCUUGGAUUUAUUGAAGACUAACUACUGCGAAAGCAUUUGCCAAGGAUGUUUUCAUUAAUCAGUGAACGAAAGUUAGGGGAUCGAAGACGAUCAGAUACCGUCGUAGUCUUAACCGUAAACUAUGCCGACUAGGGAUCGGGCGAUGUUUCUAUUUUGACUCGCUCGGCACCUUACGAGAAAUCAAA